ACUCCCUUAGCUCAACAGAAGAGCCGCCGCCUCAUAAGCGGUUGGUUGUUGGUGCAAGUCCAGCAGGGAGUACCA
RNAcentral lists this transfer RNA (75 nucleotides) under Oscillospiraceae bacterium. RNAcentral describes it as "tRNA-Met". It matches the Rfam family "tRNA". From Rfam's summary of the family: Transfer RNA (tRNA) molecules are approximately 80 nucleotides in length. The record is from RNAcentral. Lineage: Bacteria; Bacillati; Bacillota; Clostridia; Eubacteriales; Oscillospiraceae.